GGGGUUGUGGCUCAGUGGUAGAGCGCUUGCCUAGCAUGUGUGAGGCACUGGGUACAGGUCUCAGCACCACAUAUAAACAAAUAAAAUAAAGGUCCAGAGACAACUAAAAAAAAUUUUUUUAAAAAAAAGCAAGAACACUAUACUUUUCUUCAAAACCCCAGUCCCA
This 166-nucleotide transfer RNA is filed under the name Marmota monax (woodchuck). RNAcentral's name for it is "tRNA.Ala". Lineage: Eukaryota; Metazoa; Chordata; Mammalia; Rodentia; Sciuridae. The record is from RNAcentral.